Molecule: non-coding RNA, 107 nt
Organism: Cercophora scortea
Lineage: Eukaryota; Fungi; Ascomycota; Sordariomycetes; Sordariales; Lasiosphaeriaceae
Source: the annotation of a GenBank genome assembly
GGUCUGGUGGUCUAGCGGUAUGAUUCUCGCUUAGGGUUCACCCUGACAUGAAAUCAAGUCACGUGACUUGUUGCGAGAGGUCCCGGGUUCAAUCCCCGGCCAGACCC